Molecule: transfer RNA, 3960 nt
Filed under: Podarcis lilfordi (Lilford's wall lizard)
Lineage: Eukaryota; Metazoa; Chordata; Lepidosauria; Squamata; Lacertidae
Rfam family: tRNA (bases 555-627)
Source: RNAcentral
UAUCUUUGUCCCGAUCUGCCAGGAGAAACCUCAUUUGACUUCUUCUCGGAGUUCUAGGCUGGAAGUCCAACAUUUUGCUCAGUUGGUGAGGUCUGCUGUGUAACGAGCAAUCUAAGAGAAUGUGGUCCAUUGAAUCAAUACCUGGAUUAUAAGUACGCCAAUUGAACACUCAUGACCUGAUGCGUUAUUAUCAAGCUGCGUCACAAGCUGGACACGGAGCUGCUUUCAGAAUAUCACUGAGGUGAGUAGCAUAGCAUUUUGGAUCAGGGUGUCACAAUCCCAGAAGCAUCAAUUCAGAAAGCUGAAUUCAAGGGACGCGAUAACUGAAACCAGCUCUGGCCACGUGGUGGCAGCAAAAUACACUUUUUGAAAGCAUCUGCAUUACAUCCCAUGAUGGAUUGUCACUAACCAAAUGAAUACUUGUCAUUUGAAAGGCUUCAGAAGGGCAAGAAGCAGGUUUUAAUUUUUGUUGGGGAUCUAUCAAUACCAGCCUUGGAUUGUAUUAGAUAAAAAUUUUACCUGGAUAUGUGCCGAGCUCCAUUACAGAACAAUCAUCCUGGAUAGCUCAGUCGGUAGAGCAUAAGACUCUUAAUCUCAUGGUUGUGGGUUCAAGCCCCACGCUGGGCAAAAAGAUUCCUGCAUUGCAGGGGGUUGGACUAGAUGACCCCCGUGGUCCCUUCCAGCUCUACAAUUCUGUGAUCCCUUCUAUGCCCACAUACUCUGAGACUAAAGGUUUAUUGUACCUGUUUCUUUCCAGUCUGAUUUUUCCCACACGGUCUGGACUCCCUUAUUUCACCCCCAGACACUUUUCAAGAAUUGUUCCACUAAUUCUUUGAAUUCUCUCUCCUUAUAUUGAUUUAAUUUGGGAAGUUUUCUCGCUCUGGUGAGAGUCUUAGAGGCUGUGUGCUGAUGAGCGGAUCUCUCCCUCUACUGCCUUGGCUUAUUUCCAAAAUUAUGACAGCCUGAACUCUUCAGAGCUUGCGUUGCCCUGGUGGGGAGCUCGGUUUUGUGCCUGUGUGUGUGUAUUUGCAUUUAUAGAAAAUUUUAUUCAUUGUUUUUAAAAGAUGGCGUGUCAAGUCAUCAAGCACAAGGAAAGAAAGAUCAGACAGCAAAUAUUUGGGUCAUAUAUGGCAAAGAACAAGAACAUUCAAUCUAAAAUGUCCUUUUUCUAUAGACUUUUUAAUAUCUACAGUUCCAGAGUUGCAGACAUGAAACAGUAAUUACCCUGAAUAGAGACGUAUUUCCCAAUUUUUAAAAAGAAAAUACCCAGUUACAAGACAUUUGUACUGGCAGUAAACACAGAACAAAAGUAAUAUAUCUAAGCAUUUAAUGUGCCUUUUUUAUUGAGGUAGGUGAGAUGUAUUGAGGUAGGUGUGUAUCAAAACAAGCACUGCACGACUACUGUUUAAUAUGGUUUACUUGCACCCACAGGGACACAGGUAAGAAACAUUUCCAUGAACAGAAGGAUGGAGUAUGUGCGCAUUAUAAUAAACCAAGUUUGUGUUCAACCAAAAGAUGAGGAUCUCCCAUUCCUUCACUCUGUGCCGGGUCGUUCAGAAUAUCCUCAAAACCAAUGCAGUCACAGUUGCCUUUCCAGAUAUCCAGGGACAAGUUAGAACUAGGAAGGAAGACGCUGGAGCUGCUUCACUGCUUGGAAUUCCAUUUGCAGCUUCAGCGGUGCCUGCAGCCCCAGAAUAUUUCUCAGAGUAGAAAAAUUCAUUUUAUCUUGAUUUAACAAAAAAAAUUAUCUGAUAGUUUGAAAGGAUGAACAGGGAAAAGUUCACUCUUCACAUUUGUAAAGCCUCAAUGUAUCACACCACAGCUUUCAAAUGCUCCAGCAGCUGAAAAAUCAGAAACUGGAAUACAGUACUUCAGUUGAGAUCCAAAAGCUCAGGAUUUUUGCACCAUCACCCAAUGCCUCUUCCUUCUGCCAGCCGGCGGGGAGCUCAUUGACGGCAUCGCUGGGGAAUCCUCAAGCUGUUCCUUUUUAUUUAAAAAGCAGGGGGGAAAGGAUAAUGGUCAAGGACAAUGGGAGUUGUAGUCAAGCAACCCCUGUAGGAAGGCCCCCAGUUCCCAAACUCAUAUUAUUAGUGUAGGCCUUUUUCAGAACUGCCUCCACAGCAUGAACACUUACGCUCAACGGUUCUCCCCACCCUAUGCAAAUCUUUCCUUCCUCUUACCUGUUCUAUUUAUAAGAGCAGCUUCAGCAGCAGCCACAACAGUGAAAACAGGAGAUCCUGGAAGAAAGAAGGUAUCUUUGAAGCAGGGGAGAACUCGACACUAAGAACUGCUUUAAGGGGAGAAUCCCUGAACAUGUGAAACUCUGCCAGCGGUAGCAGAUUCACCCAAUCGUCCUGGGGAUAACUAAGGAAGCAGCAAAGAUACACUUCCAGGACUGCUCUGUCUGCCUGUCUCCUCUCUCCUCACUUCAUGUUAGUUUGGUGUUGGGUUGGUUGGUUGGUUAGUGAAAGCUGGUAGUGUUGAGGUGUGUACACUUGGUCAGUCGCUUUUGCAGAAAGACUUUUAAGAAUAAAAGCAGAAAGCAAUCUGCAAGGACACUCUUCUCGUGGACUCUUUUAUGCCAACAAGGGUCCGAGGACCAGGCUGAGGCGACAAAGGGAGGUCAGAACCUUUUCUUUUCUUUUUACAAACACUGACAAGAACGUCCCCUCAGCCACCCAUCCAGCUGUCACACCCACCCCAGGGACUUAAAGCCCAUCCCACUGCGGAGCUCACAAGAGCCGCUUUUUGGCAGAUGACCAUGAGAUGUAGCAGAAGAAAAUCUCUGACUGCAUGGCUUUAAAAGAGGACUUCCUGAUUGUCUGCCAUGGCAAUCGCCUGUGCCAAUUACACUGGAGCCCUUCUGUGCUAGUAACAGAAGAUAAUAUGGGAGUAAUUAUCCUCCCAUAUUAUAUUAAUAUGGGAGUAAUUAACCCCCCUGGGGUUAGGGGGGCUCUCCACCCACAGAUUGUCUGAUACCUGCUGCCUGUCCAGAAGGAAGAGGGGGCAGGGGGAGCUGGGUGUACACCGCAUGGCUGUGGCAACUCUCCCAAGCCGGCGCCACGAGCAGAGAACACCUGCUUUUUAAGAUAAAAGUUUGGACUUAAUUAACAGGCAUGUCCUGAACCAGCAGAGACAAAAUAACUUGCUAAUUUAAUCAGCCUCUGAGAAGGAACUGAUCUGGGGAAAGAGUUUAAUCAUGACCAAAAUACAACGGCUUGAAAAUGUAAGCGGAUGCUAUCUUAAUUAUGAAACGGACUUGUGAAAUUUUGACUAUGAGUCUGGCAAGGAUCACUAAGGGAAAGAUGAAAGGAAUUCCUAAUGGAGCUAUCGUUUUAGCGUGGAGGUAUCAUCUCAUUAAGGGCUGGAAGAAGUCCAAGAGGAGAGUUCUGGAUAUCUGCCUGGGAUUAAUGGCGGACAAUGACACAGUUAAAAUAUCUCUUGAGAGCAGAAAACGAAACUAAAGAUCUCUGAGGAGCAGAAACAAGAGUACAAAGGACUGGCCCACUUGUUGAAAUAAUUGAUGGAUUAAUUGUAUAGCCCCAGGGGGAGGCAAGCCAUUUUUAAUUCUCUUUUGAUAUAUAUGUAUUUGCAGUUUUACCUGGUUAACCUCUCCCGAAAGGCAAUGACUUGAAAUACACAAGUGGGAUUGAAAGAACUCUGCUGCUGUUCCCUCAGUGGAAGGAAGGAAAAAAAUCCUGGAUUAGAGAUACUUUGUUUUUGCAGAGGUACCAGAAUGUUGGGAGAUGAUACGAGGCUAUGGAGGGGAAUUCUGAAGAGCUGCCCUGAGCUAAUGGUGUCUUUCUGUCUGGGAUCUGGCGUAUAAUGUCUCCUGAUGGCAGAAACUGAAAAUGGAAUUGCAGGAAAUGGAUAAUACCAGGGGAAAUAUUUCACCAGAACUAUGAAGACUGAAGUUUGAACAGACCAGUGGUUGUAAACAAAAAUGAAAAUAAAGUGAAG